CAGGGAGACAACAAAAUGUAAAUAUUAAUUUUGUCACCUUAGGUCGAUCGGUAUCUCAGAUUCUUAUUUUUUAGGAAUUUCAGUUUCUAAGUUUUUUCUAGGUCACACCCAUCACUUUUUCCUGGGCCAUUAGCUCAGGUGGUUAGAGCGCACCCCUGAUAAGGGUGAGGUCCCUGGUUCAAGUCCAGGAUGGCCCAUAUCUCUAUGUUGGGGGUAUAGCUCAGUUGGUAGAGCGCCUGCUUUGCAAGCAGGAUGUCAGCGGUUCGAGUCCGCUUACCUCCACUGAAUACCACCUCUUAACAUAUAUUUAAAGAGGGAAAUUGUUUUGAGUCGUGUCCAAAUUUGCUCUGAGCGAAUCUAGCUUCCUAUUUUAUUCAAUAAAUAAGAUGCUGGACUCAUUGAAUUUUUUUUCAUUGUUUUCAGAGAACCUUGACAACUGCAUAGAUUAUUUUUGAAGACAAUAAGCAUCUUUAAUGAUGCAGAUUUAUUAUUUGUGCGAAUGCAUUAAAUAACAAUUCUAUUAAGCUGAUGCUUCAAUUAUUGAAGUUAUU
This 551-nucleotide transfer RNA is filed under the name uncultured Prochlorococcus sp. Its description in RNAcentral is "partial 16S-23S ribosomal RNA intergenic spacer". The stretch from base 210 to 282 matches the Rfam family "tRNA". Lineage: Bacteria; Bacillati; Cyanobacteriota; Cyanophyceae; Synechococcales; Prochlorococcaceae. The record is from RNAcentral.